This 482-nucleotide ribosomal RNA is filed under the name uncultured bacterium. RNAcentral's name for it is "partial 16S ribosomal RNA". It matches the Rfam family "Bacterial small subunit ribosomal RNA", at positions 30 to 507 of the family's 1533-position model. The record is from RNAcentral.
AUUGAACGCUGGCGGCAUGCCUUACACAUGCAAGUCGAACGGUAACGGGCCUUCGGGUGCCGACGAGUGGCGUACGGGUGAGUAAUACAUCGGAACGUGCCCGAUCGUGGGGGAUAACGAGGCGAAAGCUUUGCUAAUACCGCAUACGAUCUACGGAUGAAAGCAGGGGACCGCAAGGCCUUGCGCGGACGGAGCGGCCGGUGGCAGAUGAGGUAGUUGGUGGGAUAAAAGCUUACCAAGCCGACGAUCUGUAGCUGGGCUGCGAGGAUGAUCAGCCACACUGGGACUGAGACACGGCCCAGACUCCUACGGGAGGCAGCAGUGGGGAAUGUUGGACAAUGGGCGCAAGCCUGAUCCAGCCAUGCCGAGUGCAGGAUGAAGGCCUUCGGGUUGUAAACUGCUUUUGUACGGAACGAAAAGCCUUCUUUUAAUACAGGAGGGUCAUGACGGUACCGUAAGAAUAAGCACCGGCUAACUACGUG